GUGAGUCAUCGAAUCUUUGAACGCAUAUUGCGCCCGCUAGUACUCUAGCGGGCAUACCUGUUCGAGCGUCAUUUCAACCCUCAAGCCCUGCUUGCUGUUGGGGCAUUUUCUUGAGGAAAAGUCCUGAAAAUCAGUGGCGGGCUCGCCGUGACCCUGAGCGCAGUAGUCUUAUCUCGCUUAGGGGUGUCGCGGUGAGAUCUGGCCCCGUAAAACUCCACAAGGAAGACCUCGGAUCAGGUAGGAAUACCCGCUGAACUUAAGCAUAUCAAUAAGCGGAGGA
RNAcentral lists this unclassified non-coding RNA (280 nucleotides) under Sordariomycetes sp. RNAcentral describes it as "partial contains 5.8S ribosomal RNA, internal transcribed spacer 2, and large subunit ribosomal RNA". The stretch from base 1 to 71 matches the Rfam family "5.8S ribosomal RNA", at positions 84 to 154 of the family's 154-position model. Lineage: Eukaryota; Fungi; Ascomycota; Sordariomycetes. The record is from RNAcentral.